AUGAACAGCAUAGGGAAGCUACUGGCGAGCAGCAACAGCAAGAGCAUGGCGAACAGGGACAGUAAGCAGCAGCAGUCUACAAACAAAUCGAUCCAAAUAGAUGAAAAAGGGUGUGGUUACCUGCUCCAGCUUGCUUGGCGUUGGGAGAAGAGGCUGCGGCACUUGGGGACGGUGGCGGUCGAGUCUAGGCAGCAGCGACAACCCCAUACGACAGCGGCGGCGGUGACAGCAGCGAGCGACGACGACAUCCAGAUCGAAGGGGGCGAGGCUGAGCCCCCUCGUCCGCGGCCCCGUCCUGGCCGGCUGCGCGUCGUGGCCCCGGAAGACGCGCAGGCGGAGGAAGCGGGAGGAGAGGCGCAGGAUCUCGGGCUGGAUGCGCGCGAUCUCGACGUCGGCGUCGUCCUCCCUUGA
RNAcentral lists this ribosomal RNA (411 nucleotides) under Triticum aestivum (bread wheat). RNAcentral's name for it is "partial small subunit ribosomal RNA". The record is from RNAcentral. Lineage: Eukaryota; Viridiplantae; Streptophyta; Magnoliopsida; Poales; Poaceae.